ACUUGUAAGCUAUCGCUUUGCGAUGGGUCUGCGUCUGAUUAGCUAGUUGGUGGGGGCAACGGGCCUACCAAGGCGACGAUCAGUAGCCGGUCUGACGAGGGUGAUCGGCCACAUUGGGACUGAGACACGGCCCAGACUCCUACGGAGGCAGCAGUGGGGGAAUCUUCCGCAAUGGGCGAAAGCCUGACGGAGCAACGCCGCGUGAGUGAAGAAGGUCUUCGGAUCGUAAAGCUCUGUUGUCGGGGGACGAAUGUUGAGGCCUAGAACAUAGGUUUCAAAUGACGGUACCUGACGAGGAAGCCACGGCUAACUACGUG
RNAcentral lists this ribosomal RNA (317 nucleotides) under uncultured bacterium. RNAcentral describes it as "bacterial SSU rRNA". It matches the Rfam family "Bacterial small subunit ribosomal RNA", at positions 198 to 507 of the family's 1533-position model. The record is from RNAcentral.